AAUUUUAAUUUUAUUAAGAUUAAGUUUAUUUUUUUGUCAAAUAUGAUUAUAUUUAUUAUUUAAGAAAAAUUUUUUUUUAUUAUAGUUUAUUGAACUGUGAGGGUUAUUAAAUUUUCCUAAAAGAAGAAUUAAUUUUUUGUACCUUGUGUAUCAGGGUUUAUUUAACUAAUUUUGAAUAAUUUUAUCUCGAAUUUAAGAGAUUUAAAUAUAUAUUUAUUUUAUAGUAGAAUAUUUAUUUAUAAUAUAUAUUUAGUAAUGAAAUGUUAUUCGUUCUUAAGUAUAUCUAGUUUUCUAAUAAAUUAAUUCAAUUAAGCUCUAAUAAAAAUUAAUUUAUUUAUUUUUUAUUUUUAGUUAGAUGUUACUAAUUAAGGGAAUAGCUUUAAUUAAAAUUUUUAAUAUAUUUUUUAGUGUAAAGUUAAGUAGAAUUGAAAGUUUUUAUCUUUUUUAUAAUGUUAUAAUUUUUCUUUUUAUAUGAUGAUUUAUUUUUAUAUAAUUUUUGUAUUAGGAUAAAGUUAUUAAUUUAAUUUAAUUUGAAAUAAUGAUAAAAUUAGUAUAAAUUUAUUUAAAAAUAUAAUUAAUUUAUAUGUUAAUUUCAGUAAUUCGGCAAAUUAAUGCUCACCUGUUUAUUAAAAACAUGUCUUUAAGUUUAUUAUUUAAAGUCUAGCCUGCCCAAUGAUGUUUAAAUGGCCGCAGUAUUUUGACUGUGCUAAGGUAGCAUAAUCAUUAGUUUUAUAAUUGAAAGCUUGUAUGAAGGGUUGGAUGAGGCAUUAACUUUCUUAAAUUAAAUUUUUUAUAAUUUUACUUUUUAGUUAAAAGGCUUAAAUUUUUUAUGGGGACGAGAAGACCCUAUAGAGUUUUAUUUAUAAUUAUAUAUUUUGUUUUGGAAUUUAAGUUGAUAAAUGAUUUUAAAUUUAAUUGGGGUGAUUGAAAAAUUUAAUUAACUUUUUCUUUUAAAAACAAACAUUUUUGAUUUAUUGAUCCUUGGAAGGGACUAUAAGAUUAAACUACCUUAGGGAUAACAGCGUAAUUUAUUUUUAGAGUUCUUAUUAAAAAGUAAGUUUGCGACCUCGAUGUUGGAUUAAGAUUUCUUUUAGGUGAAGAAGCUUAAAUAGUAGGUCUGUUCGACCUUUAAAAUCUUACAUGAUCUGAGUUUAGACCGGUGUGAGCCAGGUCGGUUUCUAUCUCUUAUUAAAUAAAAGGUUUUAGUACGAAAGGAUUGAACUUUUAAUUAAUAAUUUUUAUUUGAUUAAUAUU
This 1254-nucleotide ribosomal RNA is filed under the name Rhadinosa nigrocyanea. Its description in RNAcentral is "16S ribosomal RNA". The stretch from base 832 to 1185 matches the Rfam family "Archaeal large subunit ribosomal RNA", at positions 2153 to 2713 of the family's 2987-position model. The record is from RNAcentral. Lineage: Eukaryota; Metazoa; Arthropoda; Insecta; Coleoptera; Chrysomelidae.